RNAcentral lists this ribosomal RNA (468 nucleotides) under uncultured bacterium. RNAcentral's name for it is "partial 16S ribosomal RNA". It matches the Rfam family "Bacterial small subunit ribosomal RNA", at positions 28 to 507 of the family's 1533-position model. The record is from RNAcentral.
GACGAACGCUGGCGGCGUGCUUAACACAUGCAAGUCGAACGGAAAGGCCCUGCUUUUGUGGGGUGCUCGAGUGGCGAACGGGUGAGUAACACGUGAGUAACCUGCCCUUGACUUUGGGAUAACUUCAGGAAACUGGGGCUAAUACCGGAUAGGAGCUCCUGCUGCAUGGUGGGGGUUGGAAAGUUUCGGCGGUUGGGGAUGGACUCGCGGCUUAUCAGCUUGUUGGUGGGGUAGUGGCUUACCAAGGCUUUGACGGGUAGCCGGCCUGAGAGGGUGACCGGCCACAUUGGGACUGAGAUACGGCCCAGACUCCUACGGGGGGCAGCAGUGGGGAAUAUUGCACAAUGGGCGGAAGCCUGAUGCAGCAACGCCGCGUGCGGGGUGACGGCCUUCGGGUUGUAAACCGCUUUCGCCUGUGACGAAGCGUGAGUGACGGUAAUGGGUAAAGAAGCACCGGCUAACUACGUG